Molecule: unclassified non-coding RNA, 196 nt
Filed under: plant metagenome
Description: partial contains small subunit ribosomal RNA, internal transcribed spacer 1, and 5.8S ribosomal RNA
Source: RNAcentral
GUCUCCGUUGGUGAACCAGCGGAGGGAUCAUUACCGAGUUUACAACUCCCAAACCCCUGCGAACAUACCAUUUGUUGCCUCGGCGGUGCCUGCUUCGGCAGCCCGCCAGAGGACCCAAACCCUUGAUUUUAUACAGUAUCUUCUGAGUAAAUGAUUAAAUAAAUCAAAACUUUCAACAACGGAUCUCUUGGUUCUG